AUGUGGGUUGCAUUGAGUUCCAAAGUUCAGAAUCUGCCUUACUGGGAGAAGAGGAGAUGUGCACCAGAAGGAGCUGGCAAGUUUCCUUGGCAAGA
Molecule: long non-coding RNA, 95 nt
Filed under: Oryctolagus cuniculus (rabbit)
Lineage: Eukaryota; Metazoa; Chordata; Mammalia; Lagomorpha; Leporidae
Description: lncRNA (ENSOCUG00000038375.1)
Source: RNAcentral